Lepidothrix coronata (blue-crowned manakin) is the source of this 1140-nucleotide long non-coding RNA. RefSeq lists it as uncharacterized. The transcript has 3 exons. NCBI's taxonomy places the organism in Eukaryota, Metazoa, Chordata, Aves, Passeriformes, Pipridae. The record is from RefSeq and is a predicted model, not a curated record.
UCUUCUCUUUCCUUGCUUCUUUCUUGAUGCUUUGGGUAGCUUAAAGCUGGGGGGAUUGGAUUUUGAUUUAAGUGUUGUGGAUUAAUGUGUGCUGGGUCUGUACUGUGGUGGAAUGUUUUGUCUGGAUUGUGUGGUGCCCUUUUGAACUGUUGCCCAGUUCCCUUUUUUCCUCCCCUAAAUUAUCAGUACAGGUGCCUCUUGGGAACAAGUGUGUGGGUUAUUCUCUUGAUGCUAUCUCAAAGAAUUAAAGAACUCUCUCUCUAUAUAUAUAUAUCUAUUUUAAAGUAAAACUCCUGGCUAAGCCCCUGAGCUUGUGAUUCUGGGUCUGGGGUGUUACAAGUGCGUACAUGAACACAGAGUUGUGACUGCAGAGCUGUAGCAGGAGUUAAUUUUCAUUAAUUUAGGGUUGUGUUUUGUCUUUUUAAGCUGCCGAGGUCUCAAAGAAUCACAAAACUCUCAGCUCUCAUCCUGGUAGGUAGAUUGUGUAGAAAUCAUCUCUGAAAUAUUUUAAACUCUUCUGAAUAAUUAAUUAUAGUGACAGAUUUUUCCAAAUGGACUCUCAGUGCAAGGUAUUCUAUUGCAUUAUUCUCCUACAGAGAUUUCUAGUUUAUUUCUUUGCACUCUUUAUCUUACAUCAUUCUGUGCACAUGCUGUUACUUUUUUUUUGUGCUGCUUCAUAUUCCCAUUAUUGCUUCUUCCCUUGGUCAGGCCAUUCCAACAUACACAUUGCACCUGCUUAGAUAUCUUUAAAACUACCUCUACAAAUCCCUAAAUCCAUUACAGAUGCAAACCAGAGCCUCUCAGCGAGACACUCUGUCUUUUGGACACCAAGUUGUCAUCAAAAAUCUCACCAUCACUUCUUCACCUGCUCAUGUGGUGCCCAGCUGUGCCUUGUUGGCCCUGCACUUGCCUGUUGUAUGAGAUUUGCUGCUCAGAGGUUGGACUUCAAAUGAGACGAGGAGCUGGAGAAGAGACAUCUUGUGUGGAAGAGGCUGGACUGUCCUCGUGGACUUACCUCCCAAGGUUGCAGGCUGAUGUGAUAAACUCUGGCUCUAAUGGAAAACCAGUUAGGAAGCAGAAAGAGGAGAGAUUGCAGAGCUGGGGGCAGCAAUACCAGCUUGUGACCCAACACUGACCUGC